GGCGCCAUAGCCAAGUGGUAAGGCAAUGGUCUGCAAAACCGUGAUCAUCAGUUCAAAUCUGAUUGGCGCCUCCA
RNAcentral lists this transfer RNA (74 nucleotides) under Bacilli bacterium. Its description in RNAcentral is "tRNA-Cys". It matches the Rfam family "tRNA". From Rfam's summary of the family: Transfer RNA (tRNA) molecules are approximately 80 nucleotides in length. Their secondary structure includes four short double-helical elements and three loops (D, anti-codon, and T loops). Lineage: Bacteria; Bacillati; Bacillota; Bacilli. RNAcentral also lists the same sequence under 2 other names. The record is from RNAcentral.